AUUGAACGCUGGCGGCAGGCCUAACACAUGCAAGUCGAGCGGAUGAAGGGAGCUUGCUCCUGGAUUCAGCGGCGGACGGGUGAGUAAUGCCUAGGAAUCUGCCUGGUAGUGGGGGAUAACGUCCGGAAACGGGCGCUAAUACCGCAUACGUCCUGAGGGAGAAAGUGGGGGAUCUUCGGACCUCACGCUAUCAGAUGAGCCUAGGUCGGAUUAGCUAGUUGGUGGGGUAAAGGCCUACCAAGGCGACGAUCCGUAACUGGUCUGAGAGGAUGAUCAGUCACACUGGAACUGAGACACGGUCCAGACUCCUACGGGAGGCAGCAGUGGGGAAUAUUGGACAAUGGGCGAAAGCCUGAUCCAGCCAUGCCGCGUGUGUGAAGAAGGUCUUCGGAUUGUAAAGCACUUUAAGUUGGGAGGAAGGGCAGUAAGUUAAUACCUUGCUGUUUUGACGUUACCAACAGAAUAAGCGCCGGCGAACUUCGU
This 483-nucleotide ribosomal RNA is filed under the name uncultured bacterium. RNAcentral describes it as "partial 16S ribosomal RNA". It matches the Rfam family "Bacterial small subunit ribosomal RNA", at positions 30 to 506 of the family's 1533-position model. The record is from RNAcentral.